CCUUCCCCCUCCGCCCGAGGAAGCAGCAGCACCCAGCCGAGGGGUCGCCUCGUCGCCCAGCAGGCCGGGGCUCCCCUGCGCAGGAUCUCCUCAGACUCGCGCAGGGUUACUUCGCCGCAGAAACUGAAGCACGGCCAGGAGCGUCUGACGGGAGACCGCGGUUUUGCGACAGUCAGGGCGUGAAGAAAAGGGAUUGGACGACACCCACCCGUGGCUUGACGGCACUUCCGGUUCCGGUAACCUAUCAAUCCACUGCCGUGGCUCAAUACAUUGGAACUCUGAGAGCUAUGUGUUGUCGAAGGUUUUCAUGGCCGGAAUUAUUGGGUUGUUGUGAGUUUUCCGGGCUGAUGUUAGCUAGCCGUCGUUGAUUCAAGGCAUAAUUCAUAAAAACCACUCUGAAAACAGGAAUUCCAGACAUGAAUCAAUCAGGGCCAGCUAACACCUCCCAACAAAGGAUUCUCCCACGCAGUUAGCAGCCAGACCUCGAAACUGAAAGGCUAUUCCAUGCUAAUCAAGGAUGACAGUUGCAACAUUCACACUUGUCUCAGGCAGACAAGAGUUUUUUCUCCCACCUUGAACAUUCCACAGAUAUAUAAACCCCACUUGCCUAGUUUCCAACAGACCUCACAACCUCUGAGGGUGCCUGGCAACGUCAAGAGAUAAUGCUUCUGGAACAUGGCCAUACAGCCCGUAAAACUCACAGCAACCCAGUGAGAGCUGUUUUUACAAGGUCUUUAGCCUUCCCUGCAGAAUAGUGCUGGUUUCUCACCAAACUAUAUAGCAUAGCAUUCCAUAUCACUGAGCCACGGCAGUUAAAGCAUUGUCAAACUGUAUUCAUUCUACAGUAUAUGCACUCCAAGUCCCACCCUCACUACUAAACACUAUCCAAUUUUACCAAGCUGAUUAUUUAAUCCGGUUUUAAGUGCUUCAAUGUAUUUUAGCUAAUUAUUACAGGAGUGUUAGGAUAAGGUAUUGUGUUUAUUGUGUCUUUGUAGUAAAGGUAAAGGUUUC
RNAcentral lists this long non-coding RNA (1011 nucleotides) under Anolis carolinensis (green anole). Its description in RNAcentral is "lncRNA (ENSACAG00000041897.1)". Lineage: Eukaryota; Metazoa; Chordata; Lepidosauria; Squamata; Anolidae. The record is from RNAcentral.